This 55-nucleotide non-coding RNA is filed under the name Bradyrhizobium sp. BTAi1. RNAcentral's name for it is "terC RNA". It matches the Rfam family "terC RNA". Lineage: Bacteria; Pseudomonadati; Pseudomonadota; Alphaproteobacteria; Hyphomicrobiales; Nitrobacteraceae. The record is from RNAcentral.
CCGGAGAUCCGGGCCCCUCUGAUAGUCUGCACGGCUAUGAUGUCGGACUCUCUUU